UAAUACCAGCUCUCCGAGUGGUGGGGACGAUUAUUGGGCUUAAAGCGUUCGUAGCCGGCUUAACAAGUCUUCCGUUAAAUCCAACGAUCUUAUCGUUGGGCUGCGGGAGAUACUGUUGGGCUAGGAGGCGGGAGAAGCCGACGGUAUUCUCGGGGUAGGGGUGAAAUCCUGUAAUCCCGGGAGGACCACCAGUGGCGAAGGCGGUCGGCUAGAACGCGCUCGACGGUGAGGGACGAAAGCUGGGGGAGCGAACCGGAUUAGAAACCCGGGUAGUCCCAGCUGUAAACGAUGCGGGCUAGGUGUUGGGGUGGCCACGAGCCACUUCAGUGCCGCAUGGAAGCAAUUAAGCCCGCCGCCUGGGGAGUACGGCCGCAAGGCUG
RNAcentral lists this ribosomal RNA (380 nucleotides) under uncultured archaeon. RNAcentral's name for it is "bacterial SSU rRNA". It matches the Rfam family "Archaeal small subunit ribosomal RNA", at positions 471 to 851 of the family's 1478-position model. The record is from RNAcentral.